UCUCUGAAUGUCUGCACAUAAUUGCAUCUGAACUCUUCCAUCUGAAGUUUGCCAAGGGCUUUUACUUAGUGCUUGUUUUCUUCUUUUUGUUGAAUUUACUGUGUGUAUUUAUUAACCAGAAAGAUAUCUGGGCUUUGAACACUUAACAAAGGACAAAAACUUUUGCAUUCCUGUUACUGUUUGUGAGUAUAUGUAUGGCUGCAUGUGAGAGAAAGAAGUGAUUGCUGAGAUUAUGAAAGAUUACAAUGUGCUUUUGAUUAUAUGCCUAGUUGUUUGGUCUCUCUGCAUUUUCUUAUAACACUUGGCUACUGUGUCCAACUAAAUCCUCGUGUAUUUCUCACUCUGGUCUGCAUCAGGGAGGCGUCACCUCAUUGUGUGUUAUGAGCACUACCAUACAAGAAGGACAUAAAAGUUCAAGAGAGCAUCCUAGGGAGGGCUCUGAGGAUGAGAAAGGGUCUGGAGGGCAAGGUUCUGGAGGGAAUUCUAUCAUAUAAUUUCCUGUCAGCUCUAUUUGAAACUCCACCCUUCUAUGAUAAUUGUGGCAGGUGGCAAAUAGAGAGAAGCAAAUGUAAUUAGUAACCAGACCUGGGAGCACUGCCCUGUCACUAGAUUUUCCUAGCAGUGCUUUGCCAUUAACAGGUCUCAGAACCCUUCAAAGCCUUUGCAUUAUCUAUGUUGAGUUUAAAAUGAGAAAUGCAAGAGGGUGAGGUCUAUGGAUCACCAAUGUUGAUCUCUCUUAAAAUAGGCAGUGUUUUAUAUCCAUAUUGAUUUUGGAUAUUGAAAAUGUAUAUCUAUAUAUAGAGAUAUAUAUAAUAGGUAAAUAAAUAUAAAUAGCUAUCAAAGGUCAAUCACUGAGUCACCUUAAAUACUCAAGGAUAAGGUGGAAAAACUCAAGUUUAAUGGAAUUUUCAAAAUACCUAAGUGUAUCCUUGUCUUACUGCGGUACAUUUGAGCAUUUCUGAUUUAUUUUUUAAGAUUAUUAUUAUAUGGGUUUUUUUGUUUGUUUUUUAAUAAUUCCU
This 1019-nucleotide long non-coding RNA is filed under the name Gallus gallus (chicken). Its description in RNAcentral is "lncRNA (ENSGALG00010006717.1)". Lineage: Eukaryota; Metazoa; Chordata; Aves; Galliformes; Phasianidae. The record is from RNAcentral.